GUGAGGAAUAUUGCGCAAUGGAGGCAACUCUGACGCAGCCAUGCCGCGUGCAGGAAGAAGGCGCUACGCGUUGUAAACUGCUUUUAACCGGGAAGAAACCCCAGGACGUGUCCUGGGUUGACGGUACCGGAGGAAUAAGCACCGGCUAACUUCGUGCCAGCAGCCGCGGUAAUACGAAGGGUGCAAGCGUUAUCCGGAUUCAUUGGGUUUAAAGGGUGCGUAGGCGGAGCGUUAAGUCAGUGGUGAAAUCCUGCAGCUUAACUGUAGACUUGCCAUUGAUACUGGCGCUCUUGAGUGCGCUUGAAGUGGGCGGAAUGUGCCGUGUAGCGGUGAAAUGCUUAGAUAUGGCACAGAACACCAAUUGCGAAGACAGCUCACUAAGGCGAUACUGACGCUGAGGCACGAAAGCGUGGGGAUCGAACAGGAUUAGAUACCCUAGUAGUCC
RNAcentral lists this ribosomal RNA (445 nucleotides) under uncultured bacterium. Its description in RNAcentral is "partial 16S ribosomal RNA". It matches the Rfam family "Bacterial small subunit ribosomal RNA", at positions 354 to 796 of the family's 1533-position model. The record is from RNAcentral.